RNAcentral lists this ribosomal RNA (502 nucleotides) under uncultured bacterium. RNAcentral describes it as "partial 16S ribosomal RNA". It matches the Rfam family "Bacterial small subunit ribosomal RNA", at positions 30 to 523 of the family's 1533-position model. The record is from RNAcentral.
AUUGAACGCUGGCGGCAGGCUUAACACAUGCAAGUCGGGCGGGGUGAUGGUGCUUGCACUAUCACUUAGCGGCGGACGGGUGAGUAAUGCUUAGGAAUCUGCCUAUUAGUGGGGGACAACAUCUCGAAAGGGAUGCUAAUACCGCAUACGUCCUACGGGAGAAAGCAGGGGAUCACUUGUGACCUUGCGCUAAUAGAUGAACCUAAGUCGGAUUAGCUAGUUGGUGGGUAAAGGCCUACCAAGGCGACGAUCUGUAGCGGGUCUGAGAGGAUGCUCCGCCACGCUGGGACUGAGACACGGCCCGGAAUCCUACGGGAGGCAGAAGUGGGGAAUAUUGGACAAUGGGGGGAACCCUGAUCCAGCCAUGCCGCGUGUGUGAAGAAGGCCUUAUGGUUGUAAAGCACUUUAAGCGGGGAGGAGGCUCUUUUGGUUAAUACCCAAGAUGAGUGGACGUUACUCGCAGAAUAAGCACCGGCUAACUCUGUGCCAGCCGCCGCCGUAA